UAGAGAAACAAAGGGAGAAAAAGGGAAAACAAGUCCAGUGCAGCCCGGUUUUAUGCACUGCUAAGAUCUGUGGGUCUUCCAGCAUGUGGGCUUGGGCACCACCGCAGCUCUGGCCAUCGCAGCAGGCGGGAUCCAUGCAGACCAGGUCAGCCAGAGACAUUUUGAAGGGAAAGCACGCUUUAAAAGUAAAUAGAGUGAGUCAUGUUGCCCGUUGGCAUAAACGCAAAGCACAUAGGAGCAGGAAGCGUCUUUGUUUUUGUGCACUGGAGGGUGCUUUCAGGUCAGGUUAUCGCCGAGGUACAUUUCUGGCUAGCAAAGUAACGGCUUGCUCUAGCAGCGAGACCAUCCUACCUGGCAGGGGGGAAGCAAUUUCAUGCAGUUCAAUAUCAGAAUAAGAAGAUGAGACGUGUGAGGAUAGCAGCAGCACCACAUGCAAGAGACUGAAUAUGAGUGCCAUGUUAAAUAAAAUAAUUUCUUUGGUGUCUGUACUCUGGUACCAGAGUGCCUUCAUGAUUUAGGGAUGUAACACUCUUGACGUGCUAUACAUGGGGAUUGAGGCCAAGUUUCUCCCUUCAUCCAGGGCAGGUUGUCACACAGGAACCAGGGGAAAGUAUGUUCUGUCCCUCCCAUCCUGCAGAGAUCCCAGAUGGCUGCAGUGUUGGCUGAAGUCACUCUCUCCUUUGUAACCUCUUUCUGAAGACUAGAGGAUACUGGUUCAAAAGCCAGAAGGCUUCUGUGAAACUGCUUGUGUGUCAGGGGGUGCCUGGGAGGCGAGAGUGGGGGUUUUUUGUAUUUUAAAGUAAUAAAGUUUUCCAUCUUUCUCUAGAAUUAAAUCCACUUUCUGUUUAAACAUUUACAGUUCUUUAAUGCGCAUACCUCUGACAUGUCUUACAAACACUUGGAAAUACUGUAGUCUGUGUUUUCCAUAAGCCUUCAGAAAAUCGACUGUUUCAAGGGCUUACUGCUGGACUAAUUUCACAGUCGUGCUGCAAAAAUGGGAAGGUAAGCGGCCCAGCAGAAGAUACAGUAGCCAAAACUCUUAUCUCAAGACCCAUUGCUUGAAGAAUAGCAUCAACUUCCCUUAGUCAAUAAUGAGUCUUAUUUAUAAAUUCAGAUACAAUACAGAAAGGAAGCUUGUUGCACUAUUGUGGAGAUCAAAGUUUCAAUGCGUUUUUUUCUCCUCCUGUUUAGAGAACUGAAGUCAGUUUGCAUGUAUCUGUAUCCCUCCCCUUAUUGCUGAGCCCAGCACAGUUGAUAGCCUUGGGCAUUUUUUUAAAGCUGUUUCUAAAGAUAAACAUUUUGCAAAAAUUCCCAGAAUGCAAGUGCUCAACUUAAGUUACCCAGAGCCGUACUGUUUGUUAGCAGGCUGUUCCUUUAUAGGGGGUUUUAAGUUCCAAUUCGAUGUAUCAUAAAUUAAUAUAUAAUGAGAAACUUCUUCUAUGGUCAAGGGUGGACUCCCUGCCUUACUGAGGUCUGUACAAACAAAACCUCUAUUGAUUUAGUUCAGUAACAUUCAGAGGUUAAUCCCAAAUCUCCUGCUCCUUUUUUAAGAACCAUUCUAUCACUGAAAAAAAUAUGAAUAAAAUUCCAUACACUAAUCAAAACAAUCCCCAAAGUCCCUGAGCACACUCACAUUCCUUAAUCUUCACAACAGCUUUAAAAAGUUGAUUGUCCUAAGUUUUUCAACAGCACUUUGAGAAGCAGAGAGGAUAUGGGUUUUUGUCAAUGUGCAGAAUUCAGUCUGUCUUUUCUCCCAGGUUAUGCUUUGUGAUCUAAAAUAGACAACGCAUGUGUUCCUCACCGUCUACUUGGCUACAGCGGGUAACUGCUCAGCUGCGUGUGUCGUGAAGACAGCUGCCAGCUAGGUGAUUUCUUCUUCUCAUGCAAACAGUAGACGUCUUUUCACUAGACAGGCUAGGAUGCUUUGAUAAUAUGUAAUUCUAGAGAGAAGGA
Long non-coding RNA from Harpia harpyja (harpy eagle), 1953 nucleotides. RefSeq lists it as uncharacterized. The record is from RefSeq and is a predicted model, not a curated record. Lineage: Eukaryota; Metazoa; Chordata; Aves; Accipitriformes; Accipitridae. The transcript has 3 exons.